UUGUUAAACUCACAUUAGGCCCUCUGCUCAGAACCUCUCAGGAGAGAAAAUUGAGGCAGAUAACCUGAGCUGUCCACCUGGGCCUGGCCUGGUACUAAAAUCUGUGUGCAAACUUGGAAGCUGAUUAGGAGGCAAGCACCACAAAGUAUUCAGUUAUGUGGCUUCUUCUGAGUCUGGUGUUUUGAUGAUUUUCCAGUCUGUCUAGAAAGCCAUUCACUAGUGCCUUAUCUUUCCCAUCCUGAGAUGACAGCUCUAGAUGUUUAAAACCAACAGAAACCUGUCCCAGAGUAACCACUGUCCAUCCUACCAUUCUCACGACACAGAAUGAAGACAUUGUGUGAGGACCGGAGCUGCUGCAGCUACCUUGCAACCACAUAAAGCAACACUGCCAAUACAUUGAGGACUGCAGAGCAGGAGGAAGGAUUCUUGCUACAAUUGGUCACCUGCUAAGCCAACUGAACUUCUUGCUAAGUGGGGAAAUAAAUAUCUUUACUGUAUAAGCUACUUUCAGUUGAGCAUAUAACUGUAUAACUUCCUAUUAAAA
Molecule: long non-coding RNA, 544 nt
Filed under: Pan troglodytes (chimpanzee)
Lineage: Eukaryota; Metazoa; Chordata; Mammalia; Primates; Hominidae
Description: long non-coding RNA NONPTRT008100
Source: RNAcentral